UGGUGUCAGGCUUCAGCUCCCCCUCCCAGAUGCACAAUGACUCUUGAAACAGACUAAGAACAAGUUCUUUUCAUCAAGAUCCUCCUUUACACAGUGUCCUUCAUCUCAUCUUGAGCCCUGUUCCAGAACCCAUCUUCCAGAUGGACAACAAGGGAAUGGGCUGGUUGCAGACACUGCUGCUGCUACAGAGAGGAUGAUAACACAUUGGGGUGGCCAGGCUGAAAAUUGGGAAUUUCCUGGCAAUUUCCCAGGAUGGGGAGACAGGGAAUUACUGACACCCAGUUGCAAGCUUUGCAUUUUGGCAGUUUAGAGAUUUUUCUAGCCCUUGCCUUGGACCUCGAUUUUUUUUUUCUCAGUAGCCAGGCUCUCCCUACAGAGCUGCCCUGAGCAUCCUGCUGAUGUUCCUGCAGUGACCAGACGCCUAGAGCUGCCUCUGUAAUACUGUGUACGUCCCAGGCUGAGCUCAGCUCCAUUUCAGAUUCAGGACAUCUCUGAGAACUGGUUGAAACGAGGACUCACUAAAGCUUCCAUCAGAUGCUGACGGGCCUCUUUGUGCCAGGAAAACGGAUGUGUGCAACAGCAGCAAAAGUGCCUGGAAGCAUCCCAAAGCCUGAGUGAAAUGAGGGAAUUUUGAGCGGCACCAAACAAAAGGAGCAGUGAUUUAAUCUCCACAGAUGGGGAGGGGGGAGCAGCGUCAGGAAAAGCAGGAGGAUGAGAUUAGCUAGGCAAUAAAAUGAAAAUGAGCAAGAGGUGGAGCAAACUGUGCUGAGAUAAGAGGAGGUGGAUUACAGAGCUGGCAGAUGGAAGGGGAGCAGGCAGCCAAACAGGGAACAAAAAAACAGGUAAUAAAUCCGUAAAAAUCUCAAUCAACAACUUUAAAUACCAUUUCCAACCCAUUUUCUCCAGGGAGCCAAGUGACUGUGGCAGAUGUACAGCUUCCCCUGUGUGCCCCGGGCCUGCCCCGUGCUGCUGCGGGCCAGGCGACUGCGAGUGGCCAGCAAGGUGUAUGUGCUGGGGCCCAAAACCCUGGCACGGCAGCCAGGAUCCUUCCUGGCACAAGGAUAAAGAAGUCAUUUAACACCAAGAGGUGAAAGAAAUCGCUUCUUUCUUGACUGACCAUUUGACUUAGCCUAAUUCAGCAGCAUGAAAGCGACACAUCGUCUCUUUUGUUGGCUGAAAGGGGCAUUUCCUCAAGCCUCGCAGGGGCACAUUAGGCUGGGUAUCUCAGUUCCGGACGAUAAGGCAGCUUUUAUCAAGAAGCUUUCAUUACUGCAGUUAAACUGGCAAUAGGUGAUUGAUAAUAAGCAGACAUUUGACCUCUGCUCGAGAGUCAUUAAACCCUUGACCACUGAGAUUUUGGAGGAUAAUCUCUAGAAUAUCUUCGGCUGUGUCAUUUUGGAAAGGCCAUGGUGCAGCUUUCCAGAUCUCUGCAUGCCCCACAUGAAUUCCCCAAUCUUCCAUUGCCUCAGGCAUGUCAGUGCCCAGUGGCACUAUCUCUGUCACAGUCCUCCCUAUCUCAGGAGGUUAUAUGAAAUCAUUAAAUCAUUUAUUUGGCAUUAUAUUUUGGAAGUCUGGGAGAGAAUGGAAAUUAUGUGGGUACUGCAAAAACAAAAAGGGAAAUUAAUGGCCGAAGAUAAGUAAUUACUUUAUGAGUCUGAAACCUCUUUGUGGUAGGGACAGCUUUUUUCUCUGUAGUUUUGGGAUGCCCAGCCCCACUGGGUUUGUGCUGAAGAGAAGCAGCAGUGAUGGCUCAUACUUCAUUGCAGACAUCUGUAUGGAAUAAUAAAUACAUGUUUUGAGCUGGCAGUUUCCCAUCCAAAUGUAGGGCAUGGGCAGAUUAAUCUUGUUGCUGUUGAGCUGGGUCAAAUGAUCUCCACUUCCAGAGGUACCCCAAAUGGGUACCUCUUCCUCCCUCUGCCCCCUUAGCUUGUUUAAUGUCCCUCAAACCAUGGCUGUAAAAACAAAAUUGUACUAUAAAGGGGCAUAGGUCCAACCUUGUAAACAUUGUUUUCAUUUAUCUCUUCAAGGCUCCCAUUAGCUUUCCCUCAUAGUCUGCCACAGAUACGGCAAAAAGGUGCCUGGGACAAUAAUCUUCAUUUUUGGCCUUUAAAGAUCAUAGACUGGAGAAUAAAUUUCAUUUCAGGCAAA
Molecule: non-coding RNA, 2148 nt
Organism: Anas platyrhynchos (mallard)
Lineage: Eukaryota; Metazoa; Chordata; Aves; Anseriformes; Anatidae
Source: RefSeq, a predicted model, not a curated record